UGAAUGAUAAAAAUGGCGCAAAUAUAGCGCCAUUUUUAUAGGUUAAAAACGUUGCUUUUCAUAUUCUGAUGCGGACAGUCAGUGAUCAUAUCGCGCUACUUCAGGAUGAUGUAGAUCCGGAGAACGCUACAGAAGAAGAGGCAUUGUUGCUGGAAAAUGGAAGAAGUUUCAGGUUUUGUUGUCCCUGAAAAACGAAGCCCC
This is a non-coding RNA of Escherichia coli 83972, 201 nucleotides long. NCBI's taxonomy places the organism in Bacteria, Pseudomonadati, Pseudomonadota, Gammaproteobacteria, Enterobacterales, Enterobacteriaceae. The record is from Rfam.